Long non-coding RNA from Olea europaea var. sylvestris, 1131 nucleotides. RefSeq lists it as uncharacterized. NCBI's taxonomy places the organism in Eukaryota, Viridiplantae, Streptophyta, Magnoliopsida, Lamiales, Oleaceae. The record is from RefSeq and is a predicted model, not a curated record. The transcript has 2 exons.
CAUAUUAUGUAACCUCUUAUGUACAAUUUUAAUGUACAAGUAGCAAAAUCAAUAAAUUUUUAUCGUUAUUAAUUUUUUUAGAAGUGUGUGAUAAGUGAUUUUUUGGAGUACGUGGGGUUAAGAAGUAGAUAGAAGUUAUGGGGAAAUGUGGAAUAUGAUAUUUCUGAGAAUGUGGUAGAAAAUGAGUGUCGGGAAAAUCAGUUCAAACAAGGGCUAAAUGUAUCAGUAUCCUAUGAAAGUGAUUUUUUAAUGUUUCAAUAUCCACUGAUAAUAGUUGCGAGAAAUGGAGCUUGGACUGCUUAUAUAUUGAGAAAAAGGGAAGUGGAUUUUCAGUGAUGAGGAACAUUGGUACUUCUGUUCUUUGACAAUAUAUACGCCUUAAGUAGUAGCAUUAUAUUGGAAUACCAGUGAAUAAAUUCAUUGUUUCUUAUGGUCAAGGUAGACUAAUUUUAUAAGUAUGAAUUGUCCAAAUGUAAUGCUGAUUUUUUUCUGCCUUAUGUUUAAAUCAACGAGUUUCAUAGCAAACUCCAAUGAGGAAACAUGCUUCUGACGUGGCUGGAAAUGAGCUCUGAUAAGAAGGAAACUGAGAGCUACAAUAACAAUGUUAAGAUUAGAUAUUCAGCAGUUAGCCAAGUUUCUUUAUUUUAACACUACGUUUACCAUAAUCUUUGAAAUGCUACAAUAAUAAUCAUUUGCUGAAUAUUUUCUCAUUAUAUUAGGUACCCACAAUCAAUCAAGAAACUACAGUAGCAGGUCCUGAGCCUACUGAGACGCUCAGGAAAUUCCGUUCUGAUGAAUUCUUGUUUCCAAACAAGAAACAACAGAAGAAAGUGUAUUUCGGACAGAAUUUGAUAUGUGCUGAAUCCCUCGCUCAAGGAAAGGGAAAAACUAUCAAAGUGGGAGAUCCCAUUUUAGUUGUCAAAGCCGUGUCAUCGCCUGCUGAUGCACCAAUUUGAACUCGUUUACUCCCCCAAUUUGUCGGGUGUAAUUUUUUACUGUUAGAUCACAUAGUUCCUGGUGUAUUUCACAAUCAGUGCACAUGUGCCUUAUUGUAAUGUAUGAUACUUGUCAUGGGCCUAGUUUCGUUACACCUGAACUAUGCUAGAACCGUGCGGCCUUAACGCUUUAACA